RNAcentral lists this ribosomal RNA (405 nucleotides) under uncultured bacterium. RNAcentral's name for it is "partial 16S ribosomal RNA". It matches the Rfam family "Bacterial small subunit ribosomal RNA", at positions 30 to 526 of the family's 1533-position model. The record is from RNAcentral.
AUUGAACGCUAGCGGGAUGCUUUACACAUGCAAGUCGAACGAGUGUCGGACGUGUUAGUACUAUAUCGGAACGUGCCCAGUAGCGGGGGAUCCCUACUCGAACGCUUUGCUCAUCCCGCCUCCUAUUUUCUCGGCCGAUAUCGGAUUAGCUAGUUGGUGGGUUAAAGGCUCACAAAGGCAACGAUCCGUAGCGGGGUUGAGAGGACGACCAGCCACACUGGGACGGAGACACGGCCCAGACUCCUACGGUAGGAAGCAGUGGGGAAUUGUGGACAAUGGGGGAAACCCUGAGCCAGCCAUCCCGCGUGUAUGAGAAGGCCUUCGGGUUGUAAAGUACUUUUGGCAGAGAAGCGGGAGCUGCAGAAUAAGCACCGGCUAACUACGUGCCAGCAGCCGCGGUAAUAC